This 1320-nucleotide long non-coding RNA is filed under the name Callithrix jacchus (white-tufted-ear marmoset). RNAcentral's name for it is "lncRNA (ENSCJAG00000060390.2)". Lineage: Eukaryota; Metazoa; Chordata; Mammalia; Primates; Cebidae. The record is from RNAcentral.
CGAUAAGUCACCCAUGGUCUGGGGCUUGGCCUGAUCAAAAGGUAAAACAGACAACCUGAGGAAAAUGAGAUAUUCUAGGAGGAAGAUAUUGCGAUAGCUGAUUGGUCAUCCGGAGAUGGGAAAAUCUUGAUUCAUGGGAGUCGGUCUGCAGGAGCACAGAGAAAGAAUACCAACAAGAGUACGACAGUUAGUCUUAGAAGUCUUGACCUUGCAUGGAUCAAGAAUGGUGUUCUCUAACCAGAGGUGGAAAAACACGUUUCUAAGAUUUAUUCACCAAUACUGUUAUUUCUCAGAGUUCUUCUAAAUCUUCUACCUAGAAAUAUGCAAAGUGAAGACAAUAACUAGUUACCUAAAUAAUGUCACCAUGGACUUCUAAGGAAUGCCUUGAAGAGGACACCCAACCCUAAGAAGCAGUGAUUUGAGAGUUUGAAUUAGAAAUUGUUUAGACUGGGCUAUAGACAGCUUUAAUAAAGUCAAAUUAUUUGCAUGCAAUUAGGUGAUUUCCAUUUCUUUUUCUGGAUAUCUGAAAAGUGAUAUACCUGCUCAGAUUUUUGUAUUUCCAAGAGUUCCAACGUUUCUGGCCUCUGCAAGAAGAUAGCACCAGAAGAGCAUGUCAAUAAAGUAUUAUUAAAUGAAAAGAUAAUCAUACUUAAUUCUCUAUUUUAAAAAAGCAUGUUUAUGUAUGUCUUCCACUGUUCUUUUUCAUGUCAUAAAUCGUUACUAUUGAAUAGUUGUAAUGUUCAGAAGUAGACAGAAUACCAUGAUGAACCCUCUUGCACGCAUCACCCACACACAUUAUUAAUGCCUUACCUGUCUUCUUUCAUAUACAUCUCUAACAACUCACCUCUCUUUACUUUGAAGUAGAACUCAGAAAUCAUUUCAUUUUAUCCUUAUAUAUAUCAGCAUGUUCUAGAAUUCAUUUGUAAUUCAAGAAAAGAGCAAUAAUAUAAUUCCAGCAAUAAAAGUCUCUUUAAAAAAUCCCGUCUUUUGAAAACAAAAUAUCUCUCUGUUAAAAAUAAUUAUUCACUAUUUUUAAUAGAAUGUCUUCUCAAAAAUGAUUUCUAUGUAUCUGAUUUUUUUUGGUGGGGAGGGGAGGGAUUCCCUGGAAAGGAUUUUGCAAACGCAAGUUUGCUCCUGAUACAAAGUAGUAUGGUCCAUUAUUUUUUUAAAUUGUAAAUGGUGACUGAUCAAUAUUUAAAUCAUGUUCCAAGAUCAGUAGCUCUGUGGUAUGGGGCUGGCACAGGGCACUCUUAAAUCCUUUAAUGAAAAACACAACUUUAUUUGAAAUAAAGGAAUUUGAUAUGUUUCUUUUCCAUUAUG